This 253-nucleotide ribosomal RNA is filed under the name uncultured bacterium. RNAcentral describes it as "partial 16S ribosomal RNA". It matches the Rfam family "Bacterial small subunit ribosomal RNA", at positions 524 to 776 of the family's 1533-position model. The record is from RNAcentral.
UACGUAGGGUGCAAGCGUUAAUCGGAAUUACUGGGCGUAAAGCGUGCGCAGGCGGUCUUGCAAGACAGAUGUGAAAUCCCCGGGCUCAACCUGGGAACUGCAUUUGUGACUGCAAGGCUGGAGUACGGUAGAGGGGGAUGGAAUUCCGCGUGUAGCAGUGAAAUGCGUAGAUAUGCGGAGGAACACCGAUGGCGAAGGCAAUCCCCUGGACCUGUACUGACGCUCAUGCACGAAAGCAUGGGGAGCAAAAGGG